GCUCUCGUAGUUAAGUGGAUAUAAUAAACCCCUCCUAAGGGUUAGUCACCAGUUCGACUCUGGUCGGGAGUACCA
Molecule: transfer RNA, 75 nt
Filed under: Firmicutes bacterium CAG:41
Lineage: Bacteria; Bacillati; Bacillota
Also listed under: 10 other names
Description: transfer RNA-Arg(CCT)
Rfam family: tRNA
About the family: Transfer RNA (tRNA) molecules are approximately 80 nucleotides in length. Their secondary structure includes four short double-helical elements and three loops (D, anti-codon, and T loops).
Source: RNAcentral